CUUCUUCCUCCUUCUCCUUCUCCUUCUUCUUCUCCUUCUCCUUCNNNNNNNNNNCAAGGAGAAGGAGCUCCUCCUUUCGCUUCUUCUUCCUCCUUCUUCCUCCUUCUCCUUCUCCUUCUUAUUCUCCUUCUCCUUCUUCUUUUCUUCUUCUUCUCCUCUUCCUUCUUCUNNNNNNNNNNAAAAUGACAUAAUUAGCUUAGUUAGCUCCAAAAUGUCCUAUUUAAUUAAAAAUGACCUAUACUUAGCUAAUUAUCCUCGAAAUGACAUAAUUAGGUCCAAAAAGGCAUUCUUAGCCAAUUUAGCCCGAAGAAGGGGACAAGAAGAGAAAAAGAGGAAAAUGAAAGGAAGGAAGAGGAAAAAGGAGAAGAAGAAGGAGGAGAGGGAGGAGGAGAAGAAGAAGGAGAAGAAGGAGGAGAAGGAGAAGGAGCUCCUCCUUCUCCUUCUUCUUCCUCGUUCUUCCUCCUUCACCUUCUCCUUCUUCUUCUCCUUCUCCUUCUUCUUUUCUUUUUCUUCUCCUCUUCCUUCUUCUUCUCCUCCUCCUCCUCCUCCUCCUCCNNNNNNNNNNUUCUUCCACGUAGCUUAGACUUAUCCAAGAAAGGCUAAAUUGGCUAAUUAUCCUACGAAAUGACGUAAUUAGCUUAGUUAGCUCCAAAAUGGCCUAUUUAAUAAAAAAGACCUAUACUUAGCUAAUUAUCCUCGAAAUGACAUAAUUAGCUCCAAAAAGGC
This 726-nucleotide long non-coding RNA is filed under the name Hordeum vulgare. Its description in RNAcentral is "long non-coding RNA (HVUL_LNC003031)". The record is from RNAcentral. Lineage: Eukaryota; Viridiplantae; Streptophyta; Magnoliopsida; Poales; Poaceae.